RNAcentral lists this ribosomal RNA (497 nucleotides) under uncultured bacterium. Its description in RNAcentral is "partial 16S ribosomal RNA". It matches the Rfam family "Bacterial small subunit ribosomal RNA", at positions 28 to 507 of the family's 1533-position model. The record is from RNAcentral.
GAUGAACGCUGGCGGCGUGCCUAAUACAUGCAAGUCGAGCGAACAGACGAGGAGCUUGCUCCUCUGACGUUAGCGGCGGACGGGUGAGUAACACGUGGAUAACCUACCUAUAAGACUGGGAUAACUUCGGGAAACCGGAGCUAAUACCGGAUAAUAUAUUGAACCGCAUGGUUCAAUAGUGAAAGACGGUUUUGCUGUCACUUAUAGAUGGAUCCGCGCCGCAUUAGCUAGUUGGUAAGGUAACGGCUUACCAAGGCAACGAUGCGUAGCCGACCUGAGAGGGUGAUCGGCCACACUGGAACUGAGACACGGUCCAGACUCCUACGGGAGGCAGCAGUAGGGAAUCUUCCACAAUGGGCGAAAGCCUGACGGAGCAACGCCGCGUGAGUGAUGAAGGUCUUCGGAUCGUAAAACUCUGUUAUUAGGGAAGAACAAAUGUGUAGGUAACUAUGCACGUCUUGACGGUACCUAAUCAGAAAGCCACGGCUAACUACGUG